UACGUAGGGUGCGAGCGUUAAUCGGAAUUACUGGGCGUAAAGCGUGCGCAGGCGGAUUGUUAAGCAAGAUGUGAAAUCCCCGGGCUUAACCUGGGAAUGGCAUUUUGAACUGGCAAUCUAGAGUGUGGCAGAGGGAGGUAGAAUUCCACGUGUAGCAGUGAAAUGCGUAGAGAUGUGGAGGAAUACCGAUGGCGAAGGCAGCCUCCUGGGAUAACACUGACGCUCAUGUACGAAAGCGUGGGUAGCAAACAGG
RNAcentral lists this ribosomal RNA (253 nucleotides) under uncultured bacterium. RNAcentral's name for it is "partial 16S ribosomal RNA". It matches the Rfam family "Bacterial small subunit ribosomal RNA", at positions 524 to 776 of the family's 1533-position model. The record is from RNAcentral.